This 133-nucleotide small nuclear RNA is filed under the name Labrus bergylta (ballan wrasse). RNAcentral describes it as "U2 spliceosomal RNA (ENSLBEG00000008263.1)". The stretch from base 1 to 94 matches the Rfam family "U2 spliceosomal RNA". Rfam says of the family: U2 is a small nuclear RNA (snRNA) component of the spliceosome (involved in pre-mRNA splicing). Complementary binding between U2 snRNA (in an area lying towards the 5' end but 3' to hairpin I) and the branchpoint sequence (BPS) of the intron results the bulging out of an unpaired adenosine, on the BPS, which initiates a nucleophilic attack at the intronic 5' splice site, thus starting the first of two transesterification reactions that mediate splicing. The record is from RNAcentral. Lineage: Eukaryota; Metazoa; Chordata; Actinopteri; Labriformes; Labridae.
AUCGCUUCUCGGCCUUUUGGCUAAGAUCAAGUGUAGUAUCUGUUCUUAUCAGUUUCUUAUCUUAGAGUUUUAAAGUGUGGUGUCUCCAACAUGUCGGCGGCCCAUGCUGGCAUGCGGAGGCACCACAGUGUAC